This 520-nucleotide ribosomal RNA is filed under the name uncultured bacterium. RNAcentral describes it as "bacterial SSU rRNA". It matches the Rfam family "Bacterial small subunit ribosomal RNA", at positions 61 to 590 of the family's 1533-position model. The record is from RNAcentral.
GUCGAGCGGAGACAGUGAGUAGCUUGCUAUGAGCUGUUUUAGCGGCGGACGGGUGAGUAACGCGUGAGCAACCUUUCCCAGACAGGGGAAUAACACACCGAAAGGUGUACUAAUACCGCAUAAGACCACGGAAUCACAUGGUUCUGAGGUAAAAGAUUUAUCGGUUUGGGGUGGGCUCGCGUCCGAUUAGGUAGUUGGUGAGGUAACGGCCCACCAAGCCGACGAUCGGUAGCCGACCUGAGAGGGUGAUCGGCCACAUUGGGACUGAGACACGGCCCAAACUCCUACGGGAGGCAGCAGUGGGGAAUAUUGGGCAAUGGAGGAAACUCUGACCCAGCAACGCCGCGUGGAGGAAGAAGGUUUUCGGAUCGUAAACUCCUGUCCUUGGAGACGAGUAGAAGACGGUAUCCAAGGAGGAAGCCCCGGCUAACUACGUGCCAGCAGCCGCGGUAAUACGUAGGGGGCAAGCGUUGUCCGGAAUAAUUGGGCGUAAAGGGCGCGUAGGCGGCUCGGUAAGUCU